RNAcentral lists this ribosomal RNA (353 nucleotides) under uncultured fungus. RNAcentral's name for it is "SSU rRNA". It matches the Rfam family "Eukaryotic small subunit ribosomal RNA", at positions 21 to 368 of the family's 1831-position model. Lineage: Eukaryota; Fungi. The record is from RNAcentral.
UGUAGUCAUAUGCUUGUCUCAAAGAUUAAGCCAUGCAUGUCUAAGUACAUACCUUUGCACGGUGAAACCGCGAAUGGCUCAUUAAAUCAGUUAUGGUUCCUUAGAUCGUUCUUUUUACAUGGAUAACUGUGGUAAUUCUAGAGCUAAUACAUGCAAAAAGCUCCGACCGUAUGGGAAGAGCGCUUUUAUUAGACCAAAACCAAUGGGAUCGCAAGAUUCCUUUGUCUGGUGACUCUGGAUAACUUUGUGCUGAUCGCAUGGCCUUGAGCCGGCGACGUAUCUUUCAAGUGUCUGCCCUAUCAACUUUCGAUGGUAAGCGAUUUGCCUACCAUGGUUGUAACGGGUAACGGGGA